This is a long non-coding RNA of Saccostrea cuccullata (small rock oyster), 212 nucleotides long. RefSeq lists it as uncharacterized. The record is from RefSeq and is a predicted model, not a curated record. The transcript is spliced from 3 exons. Lineage: Eukaryota; Metazoa; Mollusca; Bivalvia; Ostreida; Ostreidae.
UGCUUGCUGGCCCUUACUGCACAAUGAUUCUCGGUGAUUUAGGAGCAGAAGUAAUCAAAAUUGAGCGACCAGGAUCAGGGGAUGAUACUCGGUUGUGGGGUCCACCAUUUAAAGGUUCGGAAUCGGUGUACUUCCUCACAAUCAAUAGAAAUAAAAAGAGUGUUGCCGUUGAUAUAAAAUCUGAGAGAGGUCAGGACAUUAUCAGAAAGGUU